Molecule: ribosomal RNA, 433 nt
Filed under: uncultured bacterium
Lineage: Bacteria
Description: partial 16S ribosomal RNA
Rfam family: Bacterial small subunit ribosomal RNA
Source: RNAcentral
AACGAACGCUGGCGGCAGGCCUAACACAUGCAAGUCGAGCGGACCUUUCGGGGUCAGCGGCGGACGGGUGAGUAACGCGUGGGAAUAUGCCCUUCUCUACGGAAUAGUCCUGGGAAACUGGGGGUAAUACCGUAUACGCCCUUUGGGGGAAAGAUUUAUCGGGGAAGGAUUAGCCCGCGUUGGAUUAGGUAGUUGGUAGGGUAAUGGCCUACCAAGCCGACGAUCCAUAGCUGGUUUGAGAGGAUGAUCAGCCACACUGGGACUGAGACACGGCCCAGACUCCUACGGGAGGCAGCAGUGGGGAAUCUUAGACAAUGGGGGCAACCCUGAUCUAGCCAUGCCGCGUGAGUGAUGAAGGCCUUAGGGUUGUAAAGCUCUUUCAGCUGGGAAGAUAAUGACGGUACCAGCAGAAGAAGCCCCGGCUAACUCCGUG